Molecule: unclassified non-coding RNA, 345 nt
Filed under: soil metagenome
Description: partial contains 5.8S ribosomal RNA, internal transcribed spacer 2, and large subunit ribosomal RNA
Rfam family: 5.8S ribosomal RNA (bases 1-120)
Source: RNAcentral
GAUGAAGAACGCAGCGAAAUGCGAUAACUAAUGUGAAUUGCAGAAUUCCGUGAAUCAUUGAGUCUUUGAACGCACAUUGCGCCCUCUGGUAUUCCGGAGGGCAUGCCUGUCCGAGCGUCAUUGCUGCCCUCAAGCACGGCUUGUGUGUUGGGCCCCGCCCCCCGAUCCCGGGGGGCGGGCCCGAAAGGCAGCGGCGGCACCGCGUCCGGUCCUCGAGCGUAUGGGGCUUUGUCACCCGCUCUGUAGGCCCGGCCGGCGCCUGCCGAUCAACCAAACUUUUUUCCAGGUUGACCUCGGAUCAGGUAGGGAUACCCGCUGAACUUAAGCAUAUCAAUAAGCGGAGGA